CCUGAGAAGUCUUCCACCCUCGGGUCGUUGCUGAUUUCCGCGUUCCCAUUCAGGGCAACCCCUUCUCUCCUCCCACUUUUUUGUUUUUUUUAAGGGUUUGGACUGGAUUUCGUCGGUCGGACUCCUUUCCGCUCUUCUACGAGCCAUGGCCGUCUCUGGUACAACUGGAACCUGGAGAGCAAUAAUGCUUGUCCAUUAUAUAGCUUCGUCGGUUGCCUAGUAUCUGUGUUCAGCAGACGUGCCUAGUUUGUUACUUAUUGUUUAUGGCCAUGGAAAGUAUAGCUGUCGCUAUUCUUCUUCAAACCCUUCUCUGGUUAUGGCUGGGUAAUAUAUGUUAUGGUACUGAAACUGAUAUUAAAUGCCUGAAAACAUUACAACAAUCAUUGAAAGACCCCAACAACAUGCUGACAUAUUCGUGGAAAUUUGAUAACUUGACUGAGGGCUUCAUGUGCAAAUUUAAUGGCGUAGAUUGCUGGCAUCCUGAUGAAAGCAGGGUCCUUAAUCUGCAUCUCUCCAACAUGGGUCUUCAAGGACAAUUCCCGUCAGGCCUUGAGUAUUGUACGAGUUUGACUGGACUGGAUCUCUCAAGCAACAACUUUUCUGGACCCAUUCCAGCUGAUAUCUCAAAAAAGCUGCCGUAUGUAACUUCUCUUGAUCUCUCCUAUAACAGUUUCUCAGGUGAAAUUCCAGUGAACCUGUCAAAUUGUACCUACCUUAAUAUCCUCAAUCUUCAACACAACCGACUGUCUGGACAGAUCCCUUGGCAACUGAGCCGUCUUGAUCGAUUGACGACAUUCAGUGUGGCUGACAAUUUGUUGACAGGACCAAUUCCUUCAUUUAAGAAUUCCUUCGAUGCUAUAAACUUCGCAAACAAUAAAGGGCUUUGUGGGAAACCCUUGGAUAAUUGCAAGGGACCUCCAAAGAAAAGCCAUACUGCAGUCAUCAUAGGAGCAGCCAUUGGUGGUGUGCUAUUUACCAUCAUAAUUGUGGGAGUUAUUCUAUUCUAUUGUUUGCGUAACGUGCCUAUCAAGAAAAAGGAAAAGGAUGCUGAUGAAAACAAGUGGGUGAAGAGCAUAAAGGGAGCCAAAGGCAUCAAGGUUUCUAUGUUCGAGGAGUCCAUUUCAAAAAUGAAGUUGAGCGAUCUCAUGAAAGCAACCAAUGAUUUUAGCAAAGAGAACAUCAUUGGUACAGGGAGAACGGGAACUAUGUACAAGGCGAUGCUUUCUGAUGGCUCUUAUCUUGCUGUCAAAAGGCUACAGGAUUCCCAACAUUCUGAAUCACAGUUCACCUCAGAGAUGGCAACAUUAGGAAAUGUAAGGCAUCGCAACUUGGUUCCUCUUCUGGGCUAUUGUGUUGCUAAGAAGGAGAGGUUGUUAGUAUACAAACACAUGCCCAGGGGGACCCUUUUUGAUCAAUUACAUCAGGUGGAUGGCGAGGAGAAAUUAAUGGAAUGGCCACUGAGGCUAAGAAUCAGUAUUGGGGCAGCAAGAGGUCUAGCAUGGCUUCACCAUAGUUGCAACCCCCGCAUCCUUCAUCGUAACAUAAGCUCCAAAUGCAUCCUUCUGGAUGAAGAUUAUGAACCUAAGAUAUCUGACUUUGGACUUGCAAGGCUUAUGAAUCCAGUUGAUACCCAUCUUAGCACUUUCGUCAAUGGUGAGUUUGGUGACUUGGGGUAUGUGGCCCCUGAAUAUGCACGCACUCUGGUGGCAACUCCAAAGGGCGAUGUUUACAGUUUUGGAACAGUUCUACUUGAGCUGGUUACUGGUGAAAGACCAACUCAGGUGUCUAAAGCUCCAGAAAGCUUCAAAGGCAGCUUGGCGGAGUGGAUUACGUAUCUUUCAAACAGUUCUUUUCUUCAGGAUGCCAUUGAUAAGUCCUUAAUAGGAAAGGAUUAUGACAGGGAGCUCCUCCAGUUUUUGAAGGUUGCAUGUUCUUGUGUUCUGUCAGAUCCUAAGGAGAGGCCAACUAUGUUUGAAGUAUACCAGCUCCUAAGAGCUAUCGGGGAAAGAUAUCACUUUACUGCUGAUGAUGAAAUAAUGCUGCAACCUGAGAGUACUGAUGCUGAUUACCUGGAUGAACUUAUUGUGGCACAGUGAGACAGUUGGCUGAAUGCAGAAGAAAAGCAAAUUAUCACUAGUUUUAUGAAUUCUUGUGCUACAACCCCCUUUUUCUAUUCAUGAGAUACACUUUUACCUGCCUUGCACAUGCAUAGCACGUGCUCGAGUCUCGUAAUUGUUUUGCUGAAAGGAGCAAAGCAGCUUAGAUCAAAUUAUCAUAGAUGGAGAGAUCUAUAUGUACUGCCCACUGGCUGUCUUUUGUAUAUCAGAUAAAGAACAGCUGACACUUUGAUUGCGAGAGUUUCAACUUUCUUCGGCAAAUUUCAACAUUGAAAUUGCAUGACAUGAUCUUAUCUGUCACAAUUAAAGCUUGAUAUCCAGCAGUAAAAUGUGGGGAACUUUGCAGGUGCUAUUUGAAAUAUUAAUAUAUUAUAAAGAGAUUUAUGAGACUCACUUGUGCAUCUAGGGACUUGCAGUAAGGGUGUAGACAAAGCACUCUUAAAGCAUAUUUAGUUUUGUUCCAAAUAUGAAAAAAACUGUGUUUCUCUCCCUUUCCCUUU
Phoenix dactylifera (date palm) is the source of this 2617-nucleotide RNA transcript. It is a transcript of the gene named BAK1-interacting receptor-like kinase 1, with no coding region annotated. The record is from RefSeq and is a predicted model, not a curated record. Lineage: Eukaryota; Viridiplantae; Streptophyta; Magnoliopsida; Arecales; Arecaceae.